GAAAAACUCCGGUGGUACAAGAUGGACCCGCGUCUGAUUAGCUGGUUGGUGAGGUAACGGCCCACCAAGGCAACGAUCAGUAGCCGGCCUGAGAGGGUGAACGGCCACAUUGGGACUGAGACACGGCCCAAACUCCUACGGGAGGCAGCAGUGGGGAAUAUUGCACAAUGGGGGAAACCCUGAUGCAGCAACGCCGCGUGAGUGAAGAAGUAUUUCGGUAUGUAAAGCUCUAUCAGCAGGAAAGAAAAUGACGGUACCUGACUAAGAAGCCCCGGCUAACUACGUGCCAGCAGCCGCGGUAAUACGUAGGGGGCAAGCGUUAUCCGGAUUUACUGGGUGUAAAGGGAGCGUAGACGGUUUUGCAAGUCUGAAGUGAAAGCCCGGGGCUUAACCCCGGGACUGCUUUGGAAACUGUAGAACUAGAGUGCAGGAGAGGUAAGUGGAAUUCCUAGUGUAGCGGUGAAAUGCGUAGAUAUUAGGAGGAACACCAGUGGCGAAGGCGGCUUACUGGACUGUAACUGACGUUGAGGCUCGAAAGCGUGGGGAGCAAACAGGAUUAGAUACCCUGGUAGUCCACGCCGUAAACGAUGAUUACUAGGUGUUGGUGGGUACGACCCAUCGGUGCC
This 626-nucleotide ribosomal RNA is filed under the name uncultured bacterium. Its description in RNAcentral is "bacterial SSU rRNA". It matches the Rfam family "Bacterial small subunit ribosomal RNA", at positions 201 to 847 of the family's 1533-position model. The record is from RNAcentral.